UGAAGCAGAGGACAGUGGCGGACGGGUGAGUAACGCGUGAGGAACCUGCCUUUCAGAGGGGGACAACAGUUGGAAACGACUGCUAAUACCGCAUAACAUAUAGAUGUCGCAUGGCAUUUAUAUCAAAGAUUUAUCGCUGAAAGAUGGACCCGCGUCUGAUUAGCUAGUUGGUGAGAUAACAGCCCACCAAGGCGACGAUCAGUAGCCGACCUGAGAGGGUGACCGGCCACAUUGGGACUGAGACACGGCCCAGACUCC
RNAcentral lists this ribosomal RNA (258 nucleotides) under uncultured Eubacteriales bacterium. RNAcentral describes it as "uncultured Clostridiales bacterium partial 16S ribosomal RNA". It matches the Rfam family "Bacterial small subunit ribosomal RNA", at positions 81 to 339 of the family's 1533-position model. Lineage: Bacteria; Bacillati; Bacillota; Clostridia; Eubacteriales. The record is from RNAcentral.